RNAcentral lists this long non-coding RNA (1113 nucleotides) under Anas platyrhynchos platyrhynchos (common mallard). RNAcentral describes it as "lncRNA (ENSAPLG00000021496.1)". Lineage: Eukaryota; Metazoa; Chordata; Aves; Anseriformes; Anatidae. The record is from RNAcentral.
AUGCUUGGGGGUGUCCCUUCUGCAGCGUCCCCCGCUGGGACAGCCUGGUGCGGUGCCGGGGAGCGGGGCAGAGCCCUUAAUAAGGACACCAAGUGGUGCGGGGAUGCCAGGCUCGGCCAAGGGACCCCCGGGGCCGUGCAGGUGGGCAGGUGGCGGGGGGGGGACACGGUGAGGCAGGGCCGUGCCAAGCAAGGCGGAGGGGCCGGGCGAGCCGUGGGCGCUGCCCGGUGGCCGGGGGAUGCCCGGAGCCGUGCCCGGAGCCGUGCCCGUGGCCGUGGCUGCGCGCUCAGGGCGCAGCGCUUGGCAUCCCGGAGUCCCCCCGCCCGGCCCGCCCUGUCCGUCCCCCCGGGCUCCGGUUUCCCUGUCGGAGGCAGAUGCUUUCGCAGCCCUGUCCCUCCUCCUCCUUCUGCGGAGCAGCCUCCGCGCCGCGCUCCAGCCGCCCGGAGGUGCCUGCCCGGCCCAGCCCAGCCCGGCCCGGCCCGGCCCGGCACGGCCCGGCCCCUCCGGCCCCGGGCUGGCGGAGGGAGGCAGCGGGCACCCAGCCGCGGGGCCCCGGCCAGCCCCUCCGCCUUCCUCGGGGGGGCUCGGAGGGGGGCUCGGCUCUCCUCGCUGCCCCCCCGCCCCCGGCAGGAUGUUGCCCCCCUCCCGGACCCAGCUGGGGCUCUUCUUCAUCCUCCUCUGCCCCGCCAACAUCAUCGGGCUCUGGUGGGCAGUGGGGAGCCCCCUGGUCAUGGACCCCAACAGCAUCUGCCGCAAGACGAAGCGGCUGGCGGGGAAGCAGGCGGAGCUGUGCCAGCUGGAGCCGGAGAUCGUGCAGGAGGUGGCCAAGGGCACCAAGCUGGGCGUGCGGGAGUGCCAGUACCAAUUCCGCUUCCGCCGCUGGAACUGCACCAGCCACAGCAAGUAUUUCGGCAAGAUCCUGCAGCAGGAUAUCCGAGAGACAGCCUUCGUGUAUGCCAUCACGGCGGCCGGCGUCAGCCACGCCAUCACGCAGGCCUGCAGCAUGGGCGAGCUGCUGCAGUGCGGCUGCGAGCUGACCCGCAGCAGGGCCCCCCCCUCGCCCACGGCGGGGCCGGGCACCGAGGGCACGGCCUGGGAGUGGGGGGGCUGCGG